CAUAUCAAUAAGCGGAGGAAAAGAAACUAACAAGGAUUCCCCUAGUAACUGCGAGUGAAGCGGGAAAAGCUCAAAUUUAAAAUCUGGCAGUCUUUGGCUGUCCGAGUUGUAAUCUAGAGAAGUGUUAUCCGCGUUGGACCGUGUACAAGUCUCCUGGAAUGGAGCGUCAUAGAGGGUGAGAAUCCCGUCUUUGACACGGACUGCCAGGGCUUUGUGAUGCGCUCUCAAAGAGUCGAGUUGUUUGGGAAUGCAGCUCAAAAUGGGUGGUAAAUUCCAUCUAAAGCUAAAUAUUGGCGAGAGACCGAUAGCGAACAAGUACCGUGAGGGAAAGAUGAAAAGAACUUUGGAAAGAGAGUUAAACAGUACGUGAAAUUGCUGAAAGGGAAACGCUUGAAGUCAGUCACRUUGGUCAGGAAUCAACCUUGCUUCUGCUUGGUGUAUUUUCUGGUUGAUGGGUCAGCAUCAAUUUUGAUCAUUGGAAAAAGGUCAGGGGAAUGUGGCAUCCUUGGAUGUGUUAUAGCCCUUGAUUGUAUACAAUGGUUGGGAUUGAGGAACUCAGCACGCCGCAAGGCCGGGUUUUUAACCAUGUUCGUGCUUAGGAUGCUGGCAUAAUGGCUUUAAUCGACCCGUCUUGAAACACGGACCAAGGAGUCUAACAUGCCUGCGAGUGUUUGGGUGGAAAACCCGAGCGCGUAAUGAAAGUGAAAGUUGAGAUCCCUGUCAUGGGGAGCAUCGACGCCCGGACCAGACCUUUUGUGACGGUUCCGCGGUAGAGCAUGUAUGUUGGGACCCGAAAGAUGGUGAACUAUGCCUGAAUAGGGUGAAGCCAGAGGAAACUCUGGUGGAGGCUCGUAGCGAUUCUGACGUGCAAAUCGAUCGUCAAAUUUGGGUAUAGGGGCGAAAGACUAAUCGAACCAUCUAGUAGCUGGUUCCUGCC
RNAcentral lists this ribosomal RNA (937 nucleotides) under Thaxterogaster medioscaurus. RNAcentral describes it as "Cortinarius medioscaurus partial large subunit ribosomal RNA". The record is from RNAcentral. Lineage: Eukaryota; Fungi; Basidiomycota; Agaricomycetes; Agaricales; Cortinariaceae.